This 508-nucleotide ribosomal RNA is filed under the name uncultured Desulfobulbus sp. RNAcentral's name for it is "bacterial SSU rRNA". It matches the Rfam family "Bacterial small subunit ribosomal RNA", at positions 903 to 1382 of the family's 1533-position model. Lineage: Bacteria; Pseudomonadati; Thermodesulfobacteriota; Desulfobulbia; Desulfobulbales; Desulfobulbaceae. The record is from RNAcentral.
UUGCCAGCCCGCUCAAGAACUACAAAGGAAUUGACGGGGGCCCGCACAAGCGGUGGAGUAUGUGGUUUAAUUCGAUGCAACGCGAAGAACCUUACCUGGUCUUGACAUCCCGGAGACCCUUAGGAAACUAGGGGGUGCUUCCAUCUGGAAGAAUCUGGAGACAGGUGCUGCAUGGCUGUCGUCAGCUCGUGUCGUGAGAUGUUGGGUUAAGUCCCGCAACGAGCGCAACCCUUGCCUUUAGUUGCCAGCAGUUCGGCUGGGCACUCUAAAGGGACUGCCGGUGUUAAACCGGAGGAAGGUGGGGAUGACGUCAAGUCCUCAUGGCCUUUAUGACCAGGGCUACACACGUACUACAAUGGCCGAUACAAAGGGCAGCGACACUGCGAGGUGAAGCCAAUCCCGUAAAAUCGGUCUCAGUCCGGAUUGGAGUCUGCAACUCGACUCCAUGAAGUUGGAAUCGCUAGUAAUCGUGGAUCAGCAUGCCACGGUGAAUACGUUCCCGGGCCUU